Molecule: ribosomal RNA, 314 nt
Filed under: uncultured bacterium
Lineage: Bacteria
Description: partial 16S ribosomal RNA
Rfam family: Bacterial small subunit ribosomal RNA
Source: RNAcentral
GUAUAAGAGACAGCAGCCGCCACGGGAAUACGAAGGGGGCUAGCGUUGCUCGGAAUGACUGGGCGUAAAGGGCGCGUAGGCGGAUGGCUUUGUCGGGCGUGAAAUUCCAGGGCUUAACCUUGGGGCUGCGUUCGAGACGGGUUGUCUUGAGUAUGGAAGAGGGUCGUGGAAUUCCCAGUGUAGAGGCGAAAUUCGUAGAUAUUGGGAAGAACACCGGUGGCGAAGGCGGCGACCUGGUCCAUUACUGACGCUGAGGCGCGAAAGCGUGGGGAGCAAACAGGAUUAGAUACCCGUGUAGUCCCUGUCUCUUAUAC